RNAcentral lists this ribosomal RNA (1609 nucleotides) under freshwater metagenome. RNAcentral's name for it is "bacterial LSU rRNA". It matches the Rfam family "Bacterial large subunit ribosomal RNA", at positions 951 to 2591 of the family's 2925-position model. The record is from RNAcentral.
AAACUCCGAAUACCUAUAGGUGGAGUCCGGGAGUCAGACUAUGGGGGCUAAGCUUCAUCAGUCAAAAGGGAAACAGCCCAGAUCACAAUUUAAGGUCCCAAAAUCUAUGCUAAGUGUAAAAGGUGGUGUUGUGACUACGACAGUUAGGAGGUUGGCUUAGAAGCAGCCAUCCUUUAAAGAAAGCGUAAUAGCUCACUAAUCAAGUUGUUUCGCGCCGAAAAUUUACCGGGGCUAAGUAUAUUACCGAAGAUGUGAACUUUAUAAUUUAUUAUGAAGUGGUAGAGGAGCAUUCUGUUCAGCACUGAAGUUGUAGCGUGAGCUAUGGUGGAGCGGACAGAAGAGAGAAUGUUGGCAUGAGUAGCAAAAAGGCGGGUGGAAACCCCGCCCAUGGAAAAUCCAAGGUUUCCUGGGCAACGCAAAUCGACCCAGGGUUAGUCGAUCCUAAGGCAUAGCUAAUGUAGUGUUAGCGUAGCCGAUGGCAGAGCUGGUUAAUAUUCCAGCACUACUAUAAUUUUCCGAAGGAGUGACGCAGUUCCAAGGUUAGAACGGGCUAUGGUAUGUCCGUUGCUUGCCGCAAGAAAUGAUAUAGGCAAAUCCGUAUCAACAAUUUCAAGCGGUCGGCUGAAGAUGAAGUCGCAAGAUGGAUUCGAUCUAGUAGCGGAAUUGCCCAGAAAAACUUCUAGGGCUAAGGUUAUAGUAACCGUACCGCAAACCGACACAGGUGGAUGAGGCGAGAAGCCUCAGAUGUACGAGAGAAUCUUCGUUAAGGAACUCGGCAAAACAGCGACCGUAAUUUAGAGAUAAGGUCUGCCCUCGCAAGAGGGCCGCAGCUAAAGAGCUCAAGGGACUGUUUACCAAAAACACAGCUCUCUGCUAACUCGCAAGAGGAUGUAUAGAGGGUGAUGCCUGGCCAGUGUCCGAACGUUAAGAGGAGAGGUUAACCCUUCGGGGUGAAGCUUUGAAUCCAAGCGCGGAUGAACGCCGGCGAUAACUAUAAUCGUCCUAAGGUAGCGAAAUUCCUUGUCGGGUAAGUUCCGACCUGCACGAAUGGCUUAACCACUUGAGCACUGUCUCAACGAAGAACUCGGUGAAAUUGCAAUACGAGUAAAGAUGCUCGUUAAACACAGUUGGACGAAAAGACCCCGUGAAGCUUUACUAUAGCUUGAUAUUGAAAUAGGGAUAUGCAUGUUCAGAAUAGGUGGGAGCCUUCGGGCACCAGUGAGAUACCACCCUUGUAUAUUCUUAUUUCUAACCUCUUUUAGAGGGACAGUGUCUGGUGGGUAGUUUGUCUGGGGCGGAUGCCUCCCAAAAGGUAACGGAGGCGUUUACAAAGGUUGGCUAUCCCGGAAUGGAAACCCGGGAGAUAGUGUAAAGGCACAAGCCAGCUUUACUGCGAGACUUACCAGUCAAGCAGUUGCGAAAGCAGAACUUAGUGAACCGACCGUUCGAUAUAGGACGGCGGAAGAUCAUCGGAUAAAAGCUACUCCGGGGAUAACAGGCUAGUCACGCCCAAGCGUCCACAGCGACGGCGUGGUUCGGCACCUCGAUGUCGGCUCGUCGCAUCCUGGGGGGGGAGAAGCUCCCAAGGGUUGGGCUGUUCGCCCAUUAA